GCUGGGCAUGGUGAUGCAUGCCUGUAAUCCCAUUGGCUUGGGAGGUUGAGGCAGGAGGAUAGUAAGUUCAAAGCAAGCCUCAGCAGCAGAGAGGUGCUAAGCAACUCAGUGAGAAUCUGUCUUUA
RNAcentral lists this small RNA (125 nucleotides) under Marmota monax (woodchuck). The record is from RNAcentral. Lineage: Eukaryota; Metazoa; Chordata; Mammalia; Rodentia; Sciuridae.